This 700-nucleotide ribosomal RNA is filed under the name uncultured bacterium. RNAcentral describes it as "bacterial SSU rRNA". It matches the Rfam family "Bacterial small subunit ribosomal RNA", at positions 56 to 746 of the family's 1533-position model. The record is from RNAcentral.
UGCAGUCGAACGGCAGCACAGGAGAGCUUGCUCUCUGGGUGGCGAGUGGCGGACGGGUGAGGAAUAUAUCGGAAUCUACCCUUUCGUGGGGGAUAACGUAGGGAAACUUACGCUAAUACCGCAUACGAACUGAGGUUGAAAGCGGCGGACCGCAAGGCGUCGCGCGGAUGGAUGAGCCGAUAUCCGAUUAGCUAGUUGGCGGGGUAAAGGCCCACCAAGGCAACGAUCGGUAGCUGGUCUGAGAGGAUGAUCAGCCACACUGGAACUGAGACACGGUCCAGACUCCUACGGGAGGCAGCAGUGGGGAAUAUUGGACAAUGGGCGCAAGCCUGAUCCAGCCAUGCCGCGUGUGUGAAGAAGGCCUUCGGGUUGUAAAGCACUUUUGUUGGGAAAGAAAAGCGGUCGGUUAAUACGCGGUGGUUCUGACGGUACCCAAAGAAUAAGCACCGGCUAACUUCGUGCCAGCAGCCGCGGUAAUACGAAGGGUGCAAGCGUUACUCGGAAUUACUGGGCGUAAAGCGUGCGUAGGUGGUUCGUUAAGUCAGAUGUGAAAGCCCCGGGCUCAACCUGGGAAUUGCAUUUGAUACUGGCAGACUAGAGUGCGGUAGAGGAGAGUGGAAUUCCCGGUGUAGCAGUGAAAUGCGUAGAGAUCGGGAGGAACAUCAGUUGCGAAGGCGGCUCUCUGAACCAGCACUGACAC